This 572-nucleotide unclassified non-coding RNA is filed under the name Hevea brasiliensis (rubber tree). Lineage: Eukaryota; Viridiplantae; Streptophyta; Magnoliopsida; Malpighiales; Euphorbiaceae. The record is from RNAcentral.
CUGUGGACCUAUGAUCCUCCGGAAAGGGAUGCAAAAUUGGCAAAUGAAGCAUUGAAAGCAAAGAAGAAAGGCACAAAAGAAUUGCAAGUGAUAGUUGAGAUAGCUUGUGCAAAUACUCCUCACCAUCUACAGGCAGUAAGGCAGGCCUAUUGUUCUCUUUUUGAUUGCUCCUUUGAAGAAGCCAUUGCAUCUGAAGUCUCUUUGCCCAUUAGAAAGCUCUUGGUGGGUUUAGUAAGCUCUUACAGGUAUGAUAAAGAACUGGUGGAUAUGAAUAUAGCCAGCUCAGAGGCAUCUAAAUUGCAUGAAGCUAUCAAGAGAAAGCAACUAGAUCAUGAUGAUAUAGUAUAUGUUCUCAGCACUAGGAACAUGUAUCAGCUUAGAGCAACAUUCAAGUGCUAUCAGCAAAAGUUUGGAAAUCCUAUUGACCAGGACAUAGAGAGUUGUGGUAAGGGUGUGUUGGAAUCUCUGUUGAGAGUGGUAAUUUGGUGCAUACAAUCUCCAGAAAAACACUUUGCUGAGGUGAUUGGAACUUCCAUCAUUGGACUUGGGACAGAUGAAGAUUCACUGACUAG